Molecule: long non-coding RNA, 318 nt
Filed under: Callithrix jacchus (white-tufted-ear marmoset)
Lineage: Eukaryota; Metazoa; Chordata; Mammalia; Primates; Cebidae
Description: lncRNA (ENSCJAG00000081381.1)
Source: RNAcentral
GAGUUCAAGCAACUCUCCUGCCUCAGCCUCCCAAGUACCUGGAGCACCGGUGCCUGUCACUACACUCUGCUAAUUUUUGUAUUUUUGGUAGUCAAGGUUUCACCAUGUUGGCCAGGGCUGGUCUUGAACUCCUGGGCUCAAGCAAUCCUACUGCCUUGGCCUCCCCAAAAUGUUGGGAUUACUACUUUCAAGGAACAUGUAGUCUUGUUGGACAUUACAAUAUUUAUCAUUAUUCUUUUGAGGUGGAAUAUGGAGUAAAAGCUACAGAGAUAGAGUUGCUCAAGUCUUUUCAGUUGGAAAAUCUGUAAGAACAGGAAU